AGAGUUUGAUCAUGGCUCAGAUUGAACGCUAGCGGGAUGCUUUACACAUGCAAGUCGAACGGCAGCACGAGAGAGCUUGCUCUCUUGGUGGCGAGUGGCGGACGGGUGAGUAAUAUAUCGGAACGUGCCCAGUAGCGGGGGAUAACUACUCGAAAGAGUGGCUAAUACCGCAUACGCCCUACGGGGGAAAGGGGGGGAUCGCAAGACCUCUCACUAUUGGAGCGGCCGAUAUCGGAUUAGCUAGUUGGUGGGGUAAAGGCUCACCAAGGCAACGAUCCGUAGCUGGUUUGAGAGGACGACCAGCCACACUGGGACUGAGACACGGCCCAGACUCCUACGGGAGGCAGCAGUGGGGAAUUUUGGACAAUGGGGGAAACCCUGAUCCAGCCAUCCCGCGUGUAUGAUGAAGGCCUUCGGGUUGUAAAGUACUUUUGGCAGAGAAGAAAAGGCAUCCCCUAAUACGGGAUGCUGCUGACGGUAUCUGCAGAAUAAGCACCGGCUAACUACGUGCCAGCAGCCGCGGUAAUACGUAGGGUGCAAGCGUUAAUCGGAAUUACUGGGCGUAAAGCGUGUGUAGGCGGUUCGGAAAGAAAGAUGUGAAAUCCCAGGGCUCAACCUUGGAACUGCAUUUUUAACUGCCGAGCUAGAGUAUGUCAGAGGGGGGUAGAAUUCCACGUGUAGCAGUGAAAUGCGUAGAUAUGUGGAGGAAUACCGAUGGCGAAGGCAGCCCCCUGGGAUAAUACUGACGCUCAGACACGAAAGCGUGGGGAGCAAACAGGAUUAGAUACCCUGGUAGUCCACGCCCUAAACGAUGUCAACUAGCUGUUGGGGCCGUUAGGCCUUAGUAGCGCAGCUAACGCGUGAAGUUGACCGCCUGGGGAGUACGGUCGCAAGAUUAAAACUCAAAGGAAUUGACGGGGACCCGCACAAGCGGUGGAUGAUGUGGAUUAAUUCGAUGCAACGCGAAAAACCUUACCUACCCUUGACAUGUCUGGAAUGCCGAAGAGAUUUGGCAGUGCUCGCAAGAGAACCGGAACACAGGUGCUGCAUGGCUGUCGUCAGCUCGUGUCGUGAGAUGUUGGGUUAAGUCCCGCAACGAGCGCAACCCUUGUCAUUAGUUGCUACGCAAGAGCACUCUAAUGAGACUGCCGGUGACAAACCGGAGGAAGGUGGGGAUGACGUCAAGUCCUCAUGGCCCUUAUGGGUAGGGCUUCACACGUCAUACAAUGGUCGGGACAGAGGGUCGCCAACCCGCGAGGGGGAGCCAAUCUCAGAAACCCGAUCGUAGUCCGGAUCGCAGUCUGCAACUCGACUGCGUGAAGUCGGAAUCGCUAGUAAUCGCGGAUCAGAAUGUCGCGGUGAAUACGUUCCCGGGUCUUGUACACACCGCCCGUCACACCAUGGGAGUGGGUUUCACCAGAAGUAGGUAGCCUAACCGCAAGGAGGGCGCUUACCACGGUGGGAUUCAUGACUGGGGUGAAGUCGUAACAAGGUAACCGU
Molecule: ribosomal RNA, 1500 nt
Filed under: uncultured bacterium
Lineage: Bacteria
Also listed under: 1 other name
Description: bacterial SSU rRNA
Rfam family: Bacterial small subunit ribosomal RNA
Source: RNAcentral